GGGAGGAUGGCGCAGAUGAAGCGCAUUGCGCCUGGACCGGCAGGUCGCCGGUUCGAAUCCGGCUCCCUCCA
RNAcentral lists this transfer RNA (71 nucleotides) under Thermochaetoides thermophila DSM 1495. Its description in RNAcentral is "tRNA-Pro (TGG) (tRNA-Pro-TGG-3-1)". It matches the Rfam family "tRNA". From Rfam's summary of the family: Transfer RNA (tRNA) molecules are approximately 80 nucleotides in length. Their secondary structure includes four short double-helical elements and three loops (D, anti-codon, and T loops). The record is from RNAcentral. Lineage: Eukaryota; Fungi; Ascomycota; Sordariomycetes; Sordariales; Chaetomiaceae.